GUGAGUAACACGUGGGAAACCUGCCCAGAAGCGGGGGAUAACACCUGGAAACAGAUGCUAAUACCGCAUAACAACUUGGACCGCAUGGUCCGAGUUUGAAAGAUGGCUUCGGCUAUCACUUUUGGAUGGUCCCGCGGCGUAUUAGCUAGAUGGUGGGGUAACGGCUCACCAUGGCAAUGAUACGUAGCCGACCUGAGAGGGUAAUCGGCCACAUUGGGACUGAGACACGGCCCAAACUCCUACGGGAGGCAGCAGUAGGGAAUCUUCCACAAUGGACGAAAGUCUGAUGGAGCAACGCCGCGUGAGUGAAGAAGGGUUUCGGCUCGUAAAACUCUGUUGUUAAAGAAGAACAUAUCUGAGAGUAACUGUUCAGGUAUUGACGGUAUUUAACCAGAAAGCCACGGCUAACUACGUGCCAGCAGCCGCGGUAAUACGUAGGUGGCAAGCGUUGUCCGGAUUUAUUGGGCGUAAAGCGAGCGCAGGCGGUUUUUUAAGUCUGAUGUGAAAGCCUUCGGCUCAACCGAAGAAGUGCAUCGGACACUGGGAAACUUGAGUGCAGAAGAGGACAGUGGAACUCCAUGUGUAGCGGUAGAAUGCGUAGAUAUAUGGAAGAACACCAGUGGCGAAAGCGGCUGUCUGGUCUGUAACUGACGCUGAGGCUCGCACGUAUGGCUAGCAGACAGGAUUAGAUACCCUGCUAAGCCACCCCGUAAGAGAAGAAU
Molecule: ribosomal RNA, 722 nt
Filed under: Lactiplantibacillus plantarum
Lineage: Bacteria; Bacillati; Bacillota; Bacilli; Lactobacillales; Lactobacillaceae
Description: bacterial SSU rRNA
Rfam family: Bacterial small subunit ribosomal RNA
Source: RNAcentral